UACGGAGGGUGCGAGCGUUGCUCGGAAUCACUGGGCGUAAAGCGUACGCAGGCGGCGCGUUAAGUCGGGUGUGAAAGCCCGGGGCUCAACCCCGGAUGUGCAUUCGAUACUGGCGUGCUCGAGUUCGGGAGAGGUAAGUGGAAUUCCCAGUGUAGCGGUGAAAUGCGUAGAUAUCUGGAGGAACACCGGUGGCGAAGGCGGCGUUCUGGACUGUAACUGACGCUGAGGGACGAAAGCCAGGGGAGCAAACGGG
This 253-nucleotide ribosomal RNA is filed under the name uncultured bacterium. RNAcentral describes it as "partial 16S ribosomal RNA". It matches the Rfam family "Bacterial small subunit ribosomal RNA", at positions 524 to 776 of the family's 1533-position model. The record is from RNAcentral.